Long non-coding RNA from Anneissia japonica, 188 nucleotides. RefSeq lists it as uncharacterized. The record is from RefSeq and is a predicted model, not a curated record. The transcript is spliced from 3 exons. Lineage: Eukaryota; Metazoa; Echinodermata; Crinoidea; Comatulida; Comatulidae.
UUUCAGCCGUGUGAAAAAUAUGGGUAUUAUUGUUGCAAUGGAUUCAGACAACGCUGCAAAUGGAAAUUUAUUUUGGGACGAUGGAGAGUCAAUGGAUACUUAUGCGAGUGGCGAUUAUCUGCAGCUGUCCUUUAAAUGCAAUAACAAUGAAAUUAAAAUCACUGUAGAAAACAGUGGUUUUGAUACUG